This 231-nucleotide ribosomal RNA is filed under the name uncultured bacterium. Its description in RNAcentral is "partial 16S ribosomal RNA". It matches the Rfam family "Bacterial small subunit ribosomal RNA", at positions 118 to 350 of the family's 1533-position model. The record is from RNAcentral.
UGGGCAACCUGCCCUUAGCUUUGGGAUAACCCUCGGAAACGGGGGCUAAUACCGGAUAUGACGACUCACCGCAUGGUGUGGUUGUGGAAAGUUUUUCGGUCUGGGAUGGGCUCGCGGCCUAUCAGCUUGUUGGUGGGGUGAUGGCCUACCAAGGCGACGACGGGUAGCCGGCCUGAGAGGGCGACCGGCCACACUGGGACUGAGACACGGCCCAGACUCCUACGGGAGGCA